CCUACGGGCGGCAGCAGUGGGGAAUAUUGGACAAUGGGCGAAAGCCUGAUCCAGCCAUGCCGCGUGUGUGAAGAAGGCCUUCGGGUUGUAAAGCACUUUCAGUGGGGAAGAAAGCCUUGGGGCUAAUACCCUCGAGGAAGGACAUCACCCACAGAAGAAGCACCGGCUAACUCCGUGCCAGCAGCCGCGGUAAUACGGAGGGUGCGAGCGUUAAUCGGAAUUACUGGGCGUAAAGCGCGCGUAGGCGGUCUGAUAAGCCGGUUGUGAAAGCCCCGAGCUCAACCUGGGAACGGCAUCCGGAACUGUCAGGCUAGAGUGCAGGAGAGGAAGGUAGAAUUCCCGGUGUAGCGGUGAAAUGCGUAGAGAUCGGGAGGAAUACCAGUGGCGAAGGCGGCCUUCUGGACUGACACUGACGCUGAGGUGCGAAAGCGUGGGUAGCAAACAGGAUUAGAUACCCCAGUAGUC
RNAcentral lists this ribosomal RNA (465 nucleotides) under Vreelandella stevensii. RNAcentral describes it as "partial 16S ribosomal RNA". It matches the Rfam family "Bacterial small subunit ribosomal RNA", at positions 338 to 795 of the family's 1533-position model. The record is from RNAcentral. Lineage: Bacteria; Pseudomonadati; Pseudomonadota; Gammaproteobacteria; Oceanospirillales; Halomonadaceae.